Ribosomal RNA from Danio rerio (zebrafish), 117 nucleotides. The record is from Ensembl. Lineage: Eukaryota; Metazoa; Chordata; Actinopteri; Cypriniformes; Danionidae.
UGCCACAGCCAAAUCACUCUGCAGCCCAAGACCGGUUACUCACUGAAGCUAAGCAGGGCUGAGCCUGAUCAGUUCCUGGAUGGGAGAUUACAUGGGAAAACUAGGUUGGUGUUGGAA